Molecule: transfer RNA, 73 nt
Filed under: Ipomoea nil (Japanese morning glory)
Lineage: Eukaryota; Viridiplantae; Streptophyta; Magnoliopsida; Solanales; Convolvulaceae
Rfam family: tRNA
About the family: Transfer RNA (tRNA) molecules are approximately 80 nucleotides in length. Their secondary structure includes four short double-helical elements and three loops (D, anti-codon, and T loops).
Source: Rfam by way of RNAcentral
GCCCGUCUAGCUCAGUCGGUAGAGCGCAAUGCUCUUAUCUUUGUGGUCCAGGUUUCAAGCCCCAGGGUGGGCA